This 729-nucleotide ribosomal RNA is filed under the name Rhodotorula sp. EY12114. RNAcentral describes it as "eukaryotic LSU rRNA". The stretch from base 172 to 325 matches the Rfam family "5.8S ribosomal RNA". The record is from RNAcentral. Lineage: Eukaryota; Fungi; Basidiomycota; Microbotryomycetes; Sporidiobolales; Sporidiobolaceae.
CCUGCGGAAGGAUCAUUAGUGAAUAUAGGACGUCCAACUUAACUUGGAGUCCGAACUCUCACUUUCUAACCCUGUGCACUUGUUUGGGAUAGUAACUCUCGCAAGAGAGCGAACUCCUAUUCACUUAUAAACACAAAGUCUAUGAAUGUAUUAAAUUUUAUAACAAAAUAAAACUUUCAACAACGGAUCUCUUGGCUCUCGCAUCGAUGAAGAACGCAGCGAAAUGCGAUAAGUAAUGUGAAUUGCAGAAUUCAGUGAAUCAUCGAAUCUUUGAACGCACCUUGCGCUCCAUGGUAUUCCGUGGAGCAUGCCUGUUUGAGUGUCAUGAAUACUUCAACCCUCCUCUUUCUUAAUGAUUGAAGAGGUGUUUGGUUUCUGAGCGCUGCUGGCCUUUACGGUCUAGCUCGUUCGUAAUGCAUUAGCAUCCGCAAUCGAACUUCGGAUUGACUUGGCGUAAUAGACUAUUCGCUGAGGAAUUCUAGUCUUCGGACUAGAGCCGGGUUGGGUUAAAGGAAGCUUCUAAUCAGAAUGUCUACAUUUUAAGAUUAGAUCUCAAAUCAGGUAGGACUACCCGCUGAACUUAAGCAUAUCAUAACCCCGAAAGAAAAGAAUCAUUAGUGGAAUAUGGGAAGUCCAACUUAACUUGGAGUCCGAACUCUCACUUUCUAACCCUGUGCACUUGUUUGGGGAUAGUAACUCUCGCAGGAGAGCGAACUCCUAUUCACUUAU